RNAcentral lists this ribosomal RNA (254 nucleotides) under uncultured bacterium. Its description in RNAcentral is "partial 16S ribosomal RNA". It matches the Rfam family "Bacterial small subunit ribosomal RNA", at positions 524 to 776 of the family's 1533-position model. The record is from RNAcentral.
UACGUAGGUGACAAGCGUUGUCCGGAUUUAUUGGGCGUAAAGAGCUCGUAGGCGGUUCGGUAAGUCAGGUGUGAAACCUCCAGGCUCAACCUGGAGACGCCACCUGAUACUGCUGUGACUCGAGUCCGGUAGGGGAGCGUGGAAUUCCUGGUGUAGCGGUGAAAUGCGCAGAUAUCAGGAGGAACACCAGCGGCGAAGGCGGCGCUCUGGGCCGGAACUGACGCUGAGGAGCGAAAGCGUGGGUAGCAAACAGG